Molecule: ribosomal RNA, 333 nt
Filed under: Clostridioides difficile
Lineage: Bacteria; Bacillati; Bacillota; Clostridia; Peptostreptococcales; Peptostreptococcaceae
Description: bacterial LSU rRNA
Rfam family: Bacterial large subunit ribosomal RNA
Source: RNAcentral
UACUACCGAAGCUACGGCAUCAGUAAUGAUGGGUAGGGGAGCUUCCCAUACGGGUUGAAGCAUGACCGUAAGGACAUGUGGACAGUAUGGGAGUGAGAAUGUUGGCAUGAGUAGCGAGAUGUGGGUGAGAAUCCCACAGGCCGUAAACCCAAGGUUGCCAGGGGAAGGUUCGUCCGCCCUGGGUUAGUCGGGACCUAAGCUGAGGCCGAAAGGCGUAGGUGAUGGACAACAGGUUGAUAUUCCUGUACUACCGAUAACCAUUUGAGAGAAGGGAUGACACAGUAGGAUAAGCUAAGCACACUGUUGGUUAUGUGUGCCCAAGCAUUGAGGCAG